UACGAAGGGGGCUAGCGUUGCUCGGAUUGACUGGGCGUAAAGGGCGCGUAGGCGGCUUGCAGCGUCAGAUGUGAAAUUCCUGGGCUUAACCUGGGGGCUGCAUUUGAUACGUGUGGGCUUGAGUGCGGAAGAGGGUCGUGGAAUUCCCAGUGUAGAGGUGAAAUUCGUAGAUAUUGGGAAGAACACCGGUGGCGAAGGCGGCGACCUGGUCCGUGACUGACGCUGAGGCGCGAAAGCGUGGGGAGCAAACAGG
This 253-nucleotide ribosomal RNA is filed under the name uncultured bacterium. RNAcentral's name for it is "partial 16S ribosomal RNA". It matches the Rfam family "Bacterial small subunit ribosomal RNA", at positions 524 to 776 of the family's 1533-position model. The record is from RNAcentral.